Triticum aestivum (bread wheat) is the source of this 135-nucleotide non-coding RNA. Lineage: Eukaryota; Viridiplantae; Streptophyta; Magnoliopsida; Poales; Poaceae. The record is from Rfam.
UUUAUACUCCCUCCAUCCGAAAAUACUUGUCUUCAAAAUGAAUAAAAAGAGAUGCAUCUAGAACUAAAAUACGUCUAGAUAAAUCCUUUUUUAUUCAUUUUGAUGACUAGUAUUUUCGAACAGAGAGAAUACUAA